UACGUAGGGGGCGAGCGUUGUCCGGAUUUAUUGGGCGUAAAGAGCUCGUAGGCGGUUUGGUAAGUCGGGUGUGAAAUCUCCAGGCUCAACCUGGAGAGGUCACCCGAGACUGCCAUGACUAGAGUCCGGUAGGGGUGUGUGGAAUUCCUGGUGGAGCGGUGAAAUGCGCAGAUAUCAGGAGGAACACCAGUGGCGAAGGCGGCUCACUGGCCCGGUACUGACGCUGAGGUGCGAAAGCGUGGGGAGCAAACAGG
This 254-nucleotide ribosomal RNA is filed under the name uncultured bacterium. RNAcentral describes it as "partial 16S ribosomal RNA". It matches the Rfam family "Bacterial small subunit ribosomal RNA", at positions 524 to 776 of the family's 1533-position model. The record is from RNAcentral.